Long non-coding RNA from Silurus meridionalis, 2595 nucleotides. RefSeq lists it as uncharacterized. The record is from RefSeq and is a predicted model, not a curated record. Lineage: Eukaryota; Metazoa; Chordata; Actinopteri; Siluriformes; Siluridae. The transcript has 4 exons.
AUGGGUAGAGAUGGAGAAGCAUGGAGAGAAAUGAGCAUAGCUGCUGUUCAUAAUAUUAACAAGCACAAGUUGAUAAUGUGCAUGUGAUCAGAUGUGUAGGUAAUGGAGGUAGAUUGUGGUAGUGGGAACAGUCACUUGGUUGGGUGGAGCAAUUGGAAUGAUGGCUAGGUCUUGUUUGUCAAAUUAUUGGGUCUAUAAAAGGAACAGCCGGUGUCUGGUGGGAGUGCGUUUUCCUGAACACUGGUGACGUCACCAGAUACCCGACGCAGCUGGGAGAGGUUUGUGUGGUAAGGAUUUAGUUGUCAUGCCUGUUUGGUAGCCUGAUUGUCUGGAAUGGGUUUUAAGGGUGGUUUGGUUUCUUCUUUUAGUGUGGAUUGAGGAAUCCAGCCCUUAUCAGGUUAAAAUCAUCCCACUUCCUCGUUAAGAGUUUUGCGGCACAUCGCGACCUGGUUGAACCAGUAAGUUGAUUAACUGUCGGGUAUUAAUAUUUGAUGUUAAAAGAUGCUAAUUUUGUGCAUAUUUCUCUGUAAUUAUGAAGUGUGGAACUGAGAGCCGUUGUAGUGGGCUUUCUUACCAGGGCUGUUUUACCAGGUCUGUCUUACCAGGGCUGGCUUACCUGGGUGUCUUCGUACUGGGCUGCUGUCUUAUCGGGCUGUCUACUUGCUUGCCUACCUUUGGGUUGCUUCGCUGCCUGGCUGCCAUGUGGUCUGCGGGUCACUAAAGCGUGGAAGGAGCGACAUAUUGCAUGGAUUACUGGAUUAGCCACAGAGCUAAGUGCUGGCGCUUUUGCGAACUGUGUGCUAUUGUUAGUGUGUCUGUUUCAGUGCUCCACACUGUGACAGUCUGCUGAGAGGUGGCCUGAGAAACUGCUGCUAUACAUAUCUGUUUAUCGGAGGAGUUUGAAGAUCUGGAUGGUACCCAACAGUUAGUGGAAUGCUAAGAGGUCAUGUGCUUAUUUGAUGAGUUUAUUGAAUGGAAUUGACUGUUUUAUUAUUCCUGUUGUACUUCUCUUGCUUUUUGUUCUUGUUAUUGUACUUUUAUGAUCGUUUUGUGUGUGUGUGUUUGUGUGUGUGGGUAAAUUAAGUUGACCAUACUGUGGUUUGCUUCUCCAGGUGUCUGGGAGACCAGUUUUAGUGUGAGGGACAAGUUCCUCUUUGCUUGGUGGUGGUUUCCUUCAGUGUGCAGUGGUCGACAGGAACCUGUAAAGAAGCAGCUUUUAAAAAGGCUUCAGAAUGUGACAACCCUCAAAAAAGAAACAGAGAGCGAGCCCUUCAAGGAAGAGGCCAUAAAGCCUUAGCUUUCAAAUCAUCCAGGAGAAGUCUACUGAUGAGACUGAUGAGUCCAAUUCCUCAACUUUGAUCUUGGAGUGAUCACCACAUUCUAGAUGCAGUACCUUAGAGGUUGAAGAUUUGGAUGAUCAUGGAUGAACUGCAUCGGAUUCUUGAUGGAGGGAACUCUCACUUCAUACUUGACCUAAAGACACGCUGGGGGACCUUUUAUGAGAAAGCAUUGUUUUAUAGAGUAUUCAAAAGGGUCAUGAAAGCACCACAGCAGGACAAAGGAAUCCACCUGCCACACCCCUUCGGCGGCUGUCAAACCUCCUCUUUCCCCGAAGCUCCCAGCUUCAAUUGUGCACACCAUGGCGUACCACGGAUAUCUCUCUUGGGAUUUAUGCUGGAUUGCUGUGUGUGUAUGUUUGUGUGUUUUGCGUGCAAAUCUUCACUUUCAUUAAACCAUAGCAAACUGUGCUCCGGCUUCCGCCUACGCUUCGUUCGCCACAUGACACUUUCCUUGAUAAAGGCUUUACCAGAAAUGUUCCCUUCACCUGUGGCUCCACCCAAGAAUUUAGGACAUGCAAGUGAAGCUAUGUUUCAGCAUGGCAUUUGAGCAUUUUUAAAAGCAUUUGAGCAUGAAUGAAAAUCUUAAUAUUACUUACUUCACAAUAAGAUACAACCAGUGUGAAUUGUCUUUGUGGUGAUAUUUGUUUUUCUCUGUGUUUGUAUCAGUCUGCAGAAGAUCCAAACACCUUUCUUUAGACAAGACCACUCUUCAGCUGUGUCUUGAUUGUCUGUGAAACCAAUUGUUUACUGGCCAUUGGAACCAUGCCUGUGGUGACCGUCCCAAAAAAGGACACCUGUGCUAGAGUGAUGUAUCUCAUGGUAUUAUUAUGCCGUUCACCUUAUAUAUUCUAAAUGCAUUGCUCCAGAGUCCUCUGGAUGCCUUCCAUGACAAGGACAUGACUUUGUCAUAUAAAAAGUCUAUGUUUAAGUGUAAAAAGUUCCUUACUGACUAGGGCUGCACAACACUAUUUUUUUCAUUUCUAGUCCCCAUAACAGAACUUUGUGUAUCAGCCAAUUUUAUAUCCUGUAAUACAUAGCAAUAUCAUUUGCUUUUUAUAAUAAUAAUCUUUGCAGCACGGUUACAUUGGUGAUCUUGCCAUAGAUGUUUUUUGGCAUCUGAAACUACUAAGAGCCUUUAGAACCAGGCAAGAUAUAAAACUGUACAGGUGAUGGAAAAAAAAACAUGUCCAGAAAUGACCCUGUGUUGUUUUGUUGCAUUCUUUGUUUUGCCCAUGUGCAGCUCAUAGAAUUCAUA